Molecule: long non-coding RNA, 4038 nt
Organism: Ictalurus furcatus (blue catfish)
Lineage: Eukaryota; Metazoa; Chordata; Actinopteri; Siluriformes; Ictaluridae
Exons: 3
Source: RefSeq, a predicted model, not a curated record
UGUAUGUAUGUAGGUAUGUAGGUAUGUAUGUAUGUAUGUAGGUAGGUAUGUAUGUAUGUAGGUAGGUAGGUAGGUAGGUAGGUAGGUAGGUAGGUAUGUAUGUAGGUAUGUAUGUAGGUAUGUAAGUAAGUAGGUAUGUGUGUAUGUAUGUAGGUAGGUAGGUGGGUAUGUAGGUAUGUAUGUAUGUAGGUAUGUAAGUAAGUAGGUAUGUGUGUAUGUAGGUAUGUAUGUAUGUAAGUAGGUAUGUAUGUAUGUAAGUAUGUAUGUAGGUAGGUAUGUAUGUAUGUAGGUAGGUAGGUAUGUAGGUAGGUAUGUAGGUAGGUAUGUAGGUAGGUAUGUAUGUAUGUAGGUAGGUAGGUAUGUAGGUAGGUAUGUAUGUAUGUAUGUAUGUAGGUAUGUAUGUAGGUAUGUAAGUAAGUAGGUAUGUGUGUAUGUAUGUAGGUAUGUAUGUAUGUAAGUAGGUAUGUAUGUAUGUAAGUAUGUAUGUAGGUAGGUAUGUAUGUAUGUAUGUAUGUAGGUAGGUAGGUAUGUAUGUAGGUAUGUAUGUAAGUAAGUAGGUAUGUGUGUAUGUAUGUAGGUAGGUAGGUGGGUAUGUAGGUAUGUAUGUAUGUAGGUAUGUAAGUAAGUAGGUAUGUGUGUAUGUAGGUAUGUAUGUAUGUAAGUAGGUAUGUAUGUAUGUAAGUAUGUAGGUAGGUAGGUAUGUAUGUAUGCAGGUAGGUAUGUAUGUAGGUAGGUAGGUAUGUAUGUAUGGAGGUAGGUAUGUAUGUAUGUAGGUAGGUAGGUCGGUCUGUAUGCAUGUAUGUAGGUAGGAAGGUCGGUAUGUAUGUAUGUAUGUAGGUAGGUAGGUAGGUAGGUAGGUCAGUAUGUAUGUAUGUAAGUAUGUAGGUAGGUAGGUAUGUAUGUAUGCAGGUAGGUAUGUAUGUAUGUAGGUAGGUAGGUAGGUAUGUAUGUAGGUAUGUAUGUAGGUAUGUAUGUAGGUAUGUAAGUAGGUAUGUGUGUAUGUAUGUAGGUAUGUAUGUAUGUAAGUAGGUAUGUAAGUAUGUAUGUAGGUAGGUAUGUAUGUAGGUAGGUAGGUAGGUAUGUAUGUAGGUAUGUAUGUAAGUAAGUAGGUAUGUGUGUAUGUAUGUAGGUAGGUAGGUGGGUAUGUAGGUAUGUAUGUAUGUAGGUAUGUAAGUAAGUAGGUAUGUGUGUAUGUAGGUAUGUAUGUAUGUAAGUAGGUAUGUAUGUAUGUAAGUAUGUAGGUAGGUAGGUAUGUAUGUAUGCAGGUAGGUAUGUAUGUAUGUAAGUAUGUAUGUAGGUAGGUAUGUAUGUAGGUAGGUAGGUAGGUAUGUAUGUAGGUAUGUAUGUAAGUAAGUAGGUAUGUGUGUAUGUAUGUAGGUAGGUAGGUGGGUAUGUAGGUAUGUAUGUAUGUAGGUAUGUAAGUAAGUAGGUAUGUGUGUAUGUAGGUAUGUAUGUAUGUAAGUAGGUAUGUAUGUAUGUAAGUAUGUAGGUAGGUAGGUAUGUAUGUAUGCAGGUAGGUAUGUAUGUAGGUAGGUAGGUAGGUAUGUAUGUAUGGAGGUAGGUAUGUAUGUAUGUAGGUAGGUAGGUCGGUCUGUAUGCAUGUAUGUAGGUAGGUAGGUCGGUAUGUAUGUAUGUAUGUAUGUAGGUAGGUAGGUAGGUAGGUAGGUCAGUAUGUAUGUAUGCAUGUAUGUAGGUGGGUAUGUAAGUAAGUAGGUAUGUAUGUAAGUAUGUAGGUAGGUAGGUAUGUAUGUAUGCAGGUAGGUAUGUAUGCAGGUAGGUAUGUAUGCAGGUAGGUAUGUAUGCAGGUAGGUAUGUAUGUAGGUAGGGAGGUAGGUAUGUAUGUAGGUAGGUAGGUCGGUCUGUAUGCAUGUAUGUAGGUAGGUAGGUCGGUAUGUAUGUAUGUAGGUAGGUAGGUAGGUAGGUAGGUCAGUAUGUAUGUAUGCAUGUAUGUAGGUGGGUAUGUAAGUAAGUAGGUAUGUAUGUAAGUAUGUAGGUAGGUAGGUAUGUAUGUAUGCAGGUAGGUAUGUAUGCAGGUAGGUAUGUAUGUAGGUAGGUAGGUAGGUAUGUAUGUAUGGAGGUAGGUAGGUCGGUCUGUAUGCAUGUAUGUAGGUGGGUAUGUAAGUAAGUAGGUAUGUAUGUAUGUAUGUAAGUAGGUAUGUAUGUAUGUAAGUAUGUAUGUAUGUAGGUAGGUAGGUAUGUGUGUAUGUAGGUAGGUAGGUAUGUAUGUAUGUAUGUAUGUAGGUAGGUAGGUAGGUAGGUAUGUAUGUAUGUAGGUAUGUAAGUAAGUAGGUAUGUGUGUAUGUAUGUAGGUAGGUAGGUGGGUAAGUAGGUAUGUAUGUAUGUAAGUAGGUAUGUAUGUAUGUAAGUAAGUAUGUAUGUAGGUAGGUAUGUAAGUAUGUAUGUAUGUAGGUAGGUAGGUAUGUGUGUAUGUAGGUAGGUAGGUAUGUAUGUAUGUAUGUAUGUAUGUAGGUAGGUAGGUAGGUAGGUAUGUAUGUAUGUAGGUAUGUAAGUAAGUAGGUAUGUGUGUAUGUAUGUAGGUAGGUAGGUGGGUAAGUAGGUAUGUAUGUAUGUAAGUAGGUAUGUAUGUAUGUAAUUAAGUAUGUAUGUAGGUAGGUAUGUAUGUAGGUAGGUAUGUAGGUAGGUAGGUAGGUAUGUAUGCAUGUAUGUAUGUAGGUAUGUAUGUAUGUAGGUGGGUAUGUAUGUAAGUAGGUAUGUAUGUAUGUAGGUGGGUAUGUAGGUAUGUGUGUAUGUAUGUAUGUAUGUAGGUAGGUAGGUAGGUGGGUAAGUAGGUAUGUAUGUAUGUAGGUAGGUAGGUAGGUAUGUAGGUAGGUAGGUAGGUAUGUAUGCAGGUAGGUAGGUAUGUAUGUAUGUAUGUAUGUAUGUAUGUAAGUAGGUAUGUAUGUAUGUAGGUGGGUAUGUAUGUAAGUAGGUAUGUAUGUAUGUAGGUGGGUAUGUAGGUAUGUGUGUAUGUAUGUAUGUAUGUAGGUAGGUAGGUAGGUGGGUAAGUAGGUAUGUAUGUAAGUAGGUAUGUAUGUAUGUAAGUAAGUAUGUAUGUAGGUAGGUAGGUAUGUAGGUAGGUAGGUAGGUAGGUAGGUAUGUAUGCAGGUAGGUAGGUAUGUAUGUAUGUAUGUAGGUGGGUAUGCAUGUAUGUAAGUAGGUAUGUAUGUAUGUAGGUGGGUAUGUAUGUAUGUAUGUAAGUAGGUAUGUAUGUAUGUAUGUAGGUGGGUAUGUAUGUAUGUAUGUAAGUAGGUAUGUAUGUAUGUAGGUGGGUAUGUAUGUAUGUAGGUGGGUAUGUAGGUAUGUGUGUAUGUAUGUAUGUAUGUAGGUAGGUAGGUAGGUGGGUAAGUAGGUAUGUAUGUAAGUAGGUAUGUAUGUAAGUAAGUAUGUAUGUAGGUAGGUAGGUAGGUAGGUAUGUAUGCAGGUAGGUAUGUAUGUAUGUAUGUAUGUAGGUGGGUAUGUAUGUAUGUAUGUAUGUAGGUGGGUAUGCAUGUAUGUAAGUAGGUAUGUAUGUUGGUAUGUAUGUAUGUAUGUAGGUAGGUAUGUAUGCAGGUAUGUAUGUAUGUAUGUAGGUAGGUAGGUAGGUAGGUAUGUAGGUAGGUAGGUAUGUAUGCAGGUAGGUAGGUAUGUAUGUAUGUAGGUGGGUAUGUAUGUAUGUAUGUAUGUAUGUAGGUGGGUAUGUAUGUAUGUAAGUAGGUAUGUAUGUAUGUAUGUAGGUGGGUAUGUAUGUAGGUAUGUAUGUAGGUAUGUAUGUUGGUAUGUAUGUAGGUAUGUAGGUAUGUAUGUUGGUAUGUAUGUAUGUAGGUAGGUAUGUAUGUAGGUAGGUAUGUAUGUAGGUAGGUAGGUAUGUAGGUAGGUAUGUAUGUAGGUAGGUAGGUAGGUAUGUAGGUAUGUAGGUAGGUAGGUAUGUAUGCAGGUAGGUAGGUAUGUAUGUAUGUAGGUGGGUAUGUAUGUAUGUAUGUAGGUGGGUAUGUAUGUAUGUAAGUAGGUAUGUAUGUAUGUAUGUAUGUAUGUAUGUAGGUGGGUAUGUAGGUAUGUAGG